GAUGAACGCUAGCUAUAGGCUUAACACAUGCAAGUCGAGGGGAAACGGCAUUAUGUGCUUGCACAUUUUGGACGUCGACCGGCGCACGGGUGAGUAUCGCGUAUCCAACCUGCCCUUUACUUGGGGAUACCCCGUUGAAAGACGGCCUAAUACCCGAUGUAAUUCAUUGAUGGCAUCAGAUAUGAAUAAAAGAUUUAUCGGUAAAGGAUGGGGAUGCGUCUGAUUAGCUUGUUGGUGAGGUAACGGCUCACCAAGGCGACGAUCAGUAGGGGUUCUGAGAGGAAGGUCCCCCACAUUGGAACUGAGACACGGUCCAAACUCCUACGGGAGGCAGCAGUGAGGAAUAUUGGUCAAUGGGCGCAAGCCUGAACCAGCCAAGUAGCGUGCAGGAAGACGGCCCUGUGGGUUGUAAACUGCUUUUAUACGAGAAUAAUUUGAUGCACGUGUGCGUUAUUGCAUGUAUCGUAUGAAUAAGGACCGGCUAAUUCCGUG
RNAcentral lists this ribosomal RNA (492 nucleotides) under uncultured bacterium. RNAcentral describes it as "partial 16S ribosomal RNA". It matches the Rfam family "Bacterial small subunit ribosomal RNA", at positions 28 to 507 of the family's 1533-position model. The record is from RNAcentral.